AACGAACGCUGGCGGUAUGCUUAACACAUGCAAGUCGAACGAACUUUACUAGGAGCUUGCUCUUGGUAAAGUGAGUGGCAAACGGGUGCGUAACACGUGGGAAUCUGCCCAUCAGUACGGAAUAACUUCUGGAAACAGAAGCUAAUACCGUAUAUUCUCUUCGGAGGAAAGAUUUAUCGCUGAUGGAUGAGCCCGCGUCAGAUUAGGUAGUUGGUGGGGUAAUGGCCUACCAAGCCGACGAUCUGUAGCUGGUCUGAGAGGAUGAUCAGCCACACUGGGACUGAGACACGGCCCAGACUCCUACGGGAGGCAGCAGUGGGGAAUAUUGGACAAUAGGCGAAAGCCUGAUCCAGCGACGUCGCGUGAAUGAUGAAGGCCUUAGGGUUGUAAAAUUCUUUUAGUGGAGAAGAUAAUGACGGUAUCCACAGAAAAAGUCCCGGCUAACUUCGUGCCAGCCGCCGCCGUAA
RNAcentral lists this ribosomal RNA (467 nucleotides) under uncultured bacterium. Its description in RNAcentral is "bacterial SSU rRNA". It matches the Rfam family "Bacterial small subunit ribosomal RNA", at positions 29 to 523 of the family's 1533-position model. The record is from RNAcentral.